ACGGAAGGCAGCAGUGAGGAAUAUUGGUCAAUGGACGGAAGUCUGAACCAGCCAAGUCGCGUGAAGGAUGAAGGUAUUAUGUAUUGUAAACUUCUUUAGCAGUGGAGUAAUAAGGUGGUCGAGACCACUGAUGCAAGUACACUGAGAAUAAGGAUCGGCUAACUCCGUGCCAGCAGCCACGGUAAUACGGAGGAUCCGAGCGUUAUCCGGAUUUGUUGGGUUUAAAGGGUGCGCAGGCGGCUUUUUAAGUCAGUGGUUAAAUCGUGACGCUCAACGUCAUCACGCCAUUGAUACUGGAGAGCUUGAUUGCGGUCGAGGUUUGCGGAAUUCGUUGUGUAGCGGUGAAAUGCAUAGAUAUGACGAAGAACACCGAUUGCGUAGGCAGCAGACCAGGCCGUAAAUGACGCUCAUGCACGAAAGUGCGGGGAUCGAACAGGAUUAGAUACCCUGGUA
This 453-nucleotide ribosomal RNA is filed under the name uncultured Porphyromonadaceae bacterium. Its description in RNAcentral is "partial 16S ribosomal RNA". It matches the Rfam family "Bacterial small subunit ribosomal RNA", at positions 341 to 792 of the family's 1533-position model. The record is from RNAcentral. Lineage: Bacteria; Pseudomonadati; Bacteroidota; Bacteroidia; Bacteroidales; Porphyromonadaceae.